RNAcentral lists this ribosomal RNA (504 nucleotides) under uncultured bacterium. RNAcentral's name for it is "partial 16S ribosomal RNA". It matches the Rfam family "Bacterial small subunit ribosomal RNA", at positions 28 to 523 of the family's 1533-position model. The record is from RNAcentral.
GAUAAACGCUAGCGGCAGGCUUAACACAUGCAAGUCGAGGGGCAGCAUAGAUUGUAGCAAUACAAUUGGUGGCGACCGGCGCACGGGUGCGUAACGCGUAUGCAACCUACCCGUCACAGGGGGAUAAUCCGGAGAAAUCUGGUCUAAUACCCCAUAACAUAUGGAUCGGCAUCGGUUCAUGUUGAAAUUUUCGGAGGUGACGGAUGGGCAUGCGUAGCAUUAGCUUGUUGGUGAGGUAACGGCUCACCAAGGCGACGAUGCUUAGGGGGACUGGGGGGUUUUCCCCCCACGCUGGUACUGGGACACGGACCGGACUCCUACGGGAGGCAGAAGUGAGGAAUAUUGGUCAAUGGGCGCAAGCCUGAACCAGCCAUGCCGCGUGCAGGAUGACGGCUCUAUGAGUUGUAAACUGCUUUUGUACGAGGGUAAAGUGGGUUACGUGUAACCUUUUGAAAGUAUCGUACGAAUAGGGAUCGGCUAACUCCGUGCCAGCAGCCGCCGUAA